Long non-coding RNA from Anopheles gambiae (African malaria mosquito), 533 nucleotides. RefSeq lists it as uncharacterized. NCBI's taxonomy places the organism in Eukaryota, Metazoa, Arthropoda, Insecta, Diptera, Culicidae. The record is from RefSeq and is a predicted model, not a curated record. The transcript has 2 exons.
AUACACCACUGCCACGGCUAGCCAGAUGUUGCCCAAUGAAGACGGGCGAUGGAAUAAGAACGAACCGUGUCGGAGGUUAGAGAGGAAAAAAUGAGAGUCUUGAACUCCGUCUCGAGUCUUGAGAGAUAACAAGCGAGAGAGAGAGAGAGAGAGAGAAAGGAAGAGAGAAUGUACCAAGAAUUGUGUCUGCUGAUGAAAAUCGUAGUAGGCUGAAAUUACCGUCAAGAUAAACACACAGUGGUGCCUUCUCUUCCACAGUACUUGCUGCAGCAAAUGUUGAUUUUUCUACCGAUACUAGAGGAGGGGUGAGUUGGUGGUAUCCGGCAUGAACCGAUAGCGCAUUCGGUCGCUGAAACUGAUCACUGAGCACGAUCAUCGAUCGCAUUGUGGCUGUGAAGGAGGGACGGGGAGGAGUGAAUUGUAAACAUUACGCGAGCUCGGCCGCGGUUGGUUUGGUUGUAGUAGAGUAAAAUUCGGAAUAGUUUUACAUCUGCUGGGAGUAUGGAAAAAUAAAGAAUGACUUCAUCACUCGA